This is a long non-coding RNA of Peromyscus californicus insignis, 8292 nucleotides long. RefSeq lists it as uncharacterized. NCBI's taxonomy places the organism in Eukaryota, Metazoa, Chordata, Mammalia, Rodentia, Cricetidae. The transcript has 8 exons. The record is from RefSeq and is a predicted model, not a curated record.
GCACAUGUGGGCAUCAUCUAUUUUCCUCUCCAUAAAAAGAGACAAGCCUUUGAUUCUAAAGGCUUUCUUUGCAUCACUCCCUCAGUCCGUGGUGCCUAAUACAUUAUUUUAUGGUGCUGGUGUUUUAAUUUUCAGCCUACAACAUGCUUUGUGCCUUGCGAGGGUGGAAUCCAUGAUUUACUGCAGUGGCCAUGUGGAAUUCUGGAGACUUAACCUGCGAAUGUCAAUACAAGAGGGAUAUUUGACCUUGGGAGCUAACCUAAGCCUGAACAGAUGGACCUAUAAACACGUCUAAGUACCAAUCAGAUGUAGCUCUCAGCCACUUCUCCAAUGCUCUGAGUGCAGCCAUGCUCUCCCCUCCACGAUGAUAAUGUGUGAAACCUCUGAAACUGAGGAGGUAUCAGCCAGGAUAAAUCCAAUUCUGACCAAGAAAUGGACACAGCGCAGUUGUACAGUAAAAAUUUGUUUCUUGCUCAUGCAAAGACCCAGUGGGUCUGAGAGACUUCUCUCAGUAGUGAGAUUCCUUGAAGUGACUGGUCAACCUGAGAUCUUUUCAUCUUGGGGCUCAGAAAUCUCAGCCAAGAUCUCCUCCUUGGUUGCUGCAAUGGAACAGGGGGAUUGUAAGGGUCAUUUUAACUCUUCAUCUUUGAAAAGUGAGGCCCGUUAAUUCCGAUCACAUUUCACUGGUCAACACCAGCCACAUGGUCCCAAGUGCAUUGGGAAAUGAAAUAUUGUAUGUGUCUUGGGAGGAGUGAAAACCUUGAAACAAAUGUAAGCUAGCUAUUUCUAUUAUUCUCUGAAAUUGAUUCUUUAUGAAUGAAUGAUUUAUCUCAGAGCUCAAGAUUAUUUCAACAAAGAAACUUGACACAUGUAAAUAAAAACUGUUAAAUUUGGAUUACUGGACAACUGGGAAAUCAUUGGCAUCUCAGAGAUGACUUGAGCAUGGGUCUACAUAAAGAAUGUAUUUAGAGUAGACACAUGAUAGCCAUGUGUAUUGUCAAAAUGUCAUCUUUUGUUCUUCUACUUUCUUUAGAAAAUUGGUUCCCUGCCACUUUCUCUAAUCCCACCACUUUGGAAUGGCCUCCAAAAAAAAGUAUCAGGGUUUGAUCAGUUCACAGUUUGCUAUAGUGAUGUGUAAUCUUGCUCUAAGUACUGACUGGUUCACAAACAUGGUCAAUCGAAGUUUGAGUAUGAAACCUGAAAAAUUAUUGGUACUGAUGAAUUUCUUUCAAGUUACAGAUAGAUAAUUUUAUGUGGUCUAUUCUUAGAGUUAACAUUAGACAUAAAACCAAGAAAACAAGAGUAUGGACACAUAUACUGUUACCUAUUUGCUUUGGUGAUGCCCUGAUUUAGGUCUGCUAAUGGGAACUCUGAGCUCAUUUUAACUAAAGAAUUCAAUGCAUAGGAUUUUGUGUUGUAAGCAUCAUUAUUUCUCAGCUCUAUUCAACCAUGGCCAAAUGGCUCACAACAUGACCAACAGUUAAUUUUAAAGAAAAAAUUUAACAAGUUAAUUAUCUGCAGUCCUUAGAGCAUAUGGUUCCUUCUGAGGUCAGUGACUCGUUACACAUUUCUUAAUGGUGUAAAGCAUGGUGAUGAAUAAUGUGUGCACUGCAUGUUUUAUUUUGUUCAUUGUUGGCAAUUGAAUGCAAGGCCUCACACGUUCAUUAUUAUUUUUCCUCUGUUUUAUUGAAGCAAAAUCGACAAAUAGAAUUUAUACAAUCAAGCACACAAUGUGACAUAUACACUCUGAAAUGAUUACUACAAUCACGUUGAUUAACACCCAUCACCUCAUAGUUACAUUUUUCUGACUCACUUUUUUAAAAGCAAAUUUUAAGUAUGAAGUAGAAUAUUAUUAAUUAUAGCCAUCACAUUAAAUAUCAUAUUCCCUGAAUUUAUUCAUCUUAUAACCGGGAGAGAGGUACAACUAAUAUCUCUCCAUUCCCCAACUCCAUAUUCCCUGACAACUACUGUUCUAUUUUCUGAUUAUGAGUUCAUAUUUAUUUAAAUUUGGGAUUUAUUUAUUUUUAUUUUCUGUCUAUGGUUCAUUUUGUCUCAAUGAAUGUCUGUGUAACCACAUGUAUACAGUACCUACAGAGGUCAAAAGAGGGGCUUGAAUUCUCUGGGAACUGGAGUCACAGAUGGAGUCCCACCAUGUGGCUGCUGAGAACUGAACCUGUGUCUUCUGAAGAACAGCCAGUGCUCUUAAGCACGGAGCCAUCUCUUCAGCCCCAAGUUCAGCUUUUAAUGACAUUUUUGGUCCGAUCUUAUUGUCAUUGGGAUGAAAUAUCUGAGAAACACAACUUGAGGGAGGGAGUAUUUAAUUUCCAAAACAGGUUCCAAGGUUUCAGUCCAUCAUGACAACGAGCACAUGGCAGAGAGAAGCCUGUCACAUCCUGGUAGACUGGAAGCAGAGAAAGCACACAGGAAUGAGGUGGGCAGGACAUAGGCCCCAAUGACAAUCCCUAGUGAUGCGCUUCCUCCAGGUAGGCCUUACUCAUGACAUGUUAGUGAGUGUUCUCCUCCUACAAAACAAACUAAUAGAAUGAAUACAAACUAGGAAGGGGAUUUAUUGGAGUGGCUUCCACAGUUCAGGUUGGGUAGUCCAGUAAUGGCCACCUACUCGCUGUUUCAUCCUUGAGACUAGAUGCCCCAGUUGUCCUGAUCUGGAGAUGAAGACCUGGGGAUUCCUGGAGAACCAUAGGUCUUUAAUCCCUGGGGGGAAGGCUGUAGAAGCUGAGUUCUGGUACCGAUGAAGGAUCGCAGCCUUAGGGUAGAUGUCCUUACUAGCAGGCAGCGAAGGCAGGCAUGCAAAAGCAACAGCUUUAUGUCUGGUGCCACAUACCCUGGGGAUGGGCCUCCCCCCCCCCCCCCGCCCCGCUCCGUUGAUCCCUCCAAGAAAUACUCUCAUAGCCCAGAGGCAUGUCCCAUAGUUGAUUCCAGAUCCAAUCACAUCCCUGAUCAACAGUCACAACCUCCUUUCCACAAUCUUUUAAGAAUGUCACUAUAUUAUGAGUCCAUCAAGGAAUUACUCCACUGAUGAGGUCUAAUUGUUCCCCCCAAGCCCAACUUUGGCCAGGUGACUGGCCCCAGCAUCCUCCUCUCCUCUUUUUCUUGCUCCCCCUUUUCUCUUUGUCUCCUUCUAUCUCUUCUCUCUGUCAUCCAGCCAGGUCUCUUUCUCUCUCCUGCCUCGCUGUCAGCUGUUCAGCUCUCUAUUAGAGCAAUCAGGUGUUUUAGUCAGACAAAGUAGCAAAGCUUCACAGAGUUAAACAAAUGCAACAUAAAAAAAAAAAAAUGCUCUGCUGGGAAGGAACUUGGAACCUAAGCUCUUCCCCACAGCCAUCUUGCUGUUACCAUCUUGGUGUAGUUCCAGCACCCUCUAAACUCUGGCACUAAAGCUUCCACACUUCACUAAUUCCUGGUUUUAGAACUCAUAACUUUCCUAAGAAAAAAAGAAGGGCAGGUUUAAAAAAAAAAAAACAACAGAAGAACCUCACAUUUCAUAAGACCCCCGAUGAAUUGGAUAUGUGAGAACGUAAACAUUCCUAACCGUGAAUUUACUAAACUGGCCCCGUGAUAGACUCCUUCAGUGCAGGGAUUUUUGCUUGUUUUACUUUGCAGCAGCCUUGUUCAUAUUCCAGGUGUAGCUAGCAAACCCAUUUUGAAAUAAGAGCCUUACUUGAUUCUGACAGAAUAGAUGUUUCCUGUCUAUCCUUUGUGACGGGACCUCUUACAAGAGGACCUCUUACAUAACAUAUGUUAUGUGUUUGUUGUAUUAAAUAAAGAAGACUGUAAAUAUUAAAAAAAAUGCUAUGCAUCUUCGCAUCAUUAAACAAAUACUCCACAGCAUUAGCAAAUGCAACACAUCUUCAACUAAUAUUCCACAAGACCCAACUGCUGAUAAUCAAACUCCCAAUGAAUGAGCCUAUGGUUGACAUUAAAUAUUAAAAGUGUAACAACAUCUAAGUGACACGUAACACUAUUUUUGUUCUGUGUCUGGCUUAUAUUGCUUACUAUAAUGCCCUCUGGUUUAAUAUAUUAUGUUAUAAUGACAGGAUUUCCUUAUUUUUUUUUUUGUGAAUAAGUAGUGUUUCAUUAUAUGCAACAUUGUGUCUAUAUGGCUUUUCUAUUCAUUUGUUAAUGGUACAUAGUUUACUGCCAUAUCUUGGCUGUUGUGACUAAUACUAUAAUGAGCAGAGGGGUGUGAAUAUCCAUUUUCAACAUUGGCCUCACCUAGACAUGGUUAGAACAUAGGGGAGAUAUGUUUUAAUUAAAACACUUAUUUUUAUGAGUGUUUGCCUGUCUGUAUGUAUGUGCAUGAGGUACAUGCUAUGCCGAAGGAGGCCAGAAGAUGGCAGUAGAUCCCCUGGAACUGGAGUUACAGAUGCUUGUGAGCCACCAUGUAGAUGCUGGGACGUGAACCUGGGUCCUCUGCAAGAACAGCAAGUGCUCUUAACUACCGAGCCAUCUCUCCAGCCCUGUAUUUUUAUUUUUAUUUUUGAGGAGUCUCCAUACUAUUUUUGUUUUUUAAAUUUAUUUUAAUUAACUAAUUAAUAAUUUUUCCCCAGCUCCAUCACAAUUUACCCUCCCUCCCUCCUCUCCUCCUAGUCCCUCCCUUAACCCCCCUUCCCCCAUCCACUCCUUCUCCUUUCUCUUCAGAAAAAGACAGACCUCCCAUGUCUAUCAACCAGCCAGGGUCUAUCAAGUUGCAACAUUGGUGGUCCAGUGAGUAAGAAGAACAGCUUGUAUCUUGGAGGGAAGCCAAAUCAAAAUCCACACAGAACAAGCCAGCACUUGGCUUGGCAGUGGAGCGCUCUCUUCACAGUUGUGGGUCUGUCUCCGAUUCUUUUUGGGUCCUUUCACCUCAGGAGAGGAAAGCAUUUGGGAAUUUGGACGGUACCACCUCUGAAGCAGCCAGAGAUUUCCCAGAAGCAGCCAGUCUUCAUGGCUUCAUUACUAUAAGUUCAUCACCUGAGACCUUGAAAGUGUGUACUCUAUCUGUGGAGAAAGAGCCGCAUCUAAAGGCCCAAGAUUCUUAUACUUAAAGGUUCAGAAGUUCGGGCUAGGGAGAGAAAAGAACAUAUCUGCAAGCUUUCCUGAGGAGAGAACAUUUAAACUGAGUCUCAGAAGAAGGGCAGGAUCUUGAGUGGAGAAUCAGAAAUCUGUAAGUAAUAAACCCAGUGAUUGCUUCGGAGCUUGCUGGCCCUGUAAGGAGAGCAGCUGCUCACAGUAGAUUUCUAUGUUGCAGAUCAAGGAAUUAAAAGAAAUGUUACACAGUGUCACCACUGUGUGAGCUACUUUUAUCUAGCCACAUACAUCUUGCUGCUAAAGUCUUGAUUAUCACAUCAAGCCCACAGAAGUGAGACAUAAUUAGGAAAUAGAUCCAUUGCAACAUCGCCAAUGUACAUUAAAUAGGAUAAUCACUUGUUCAAUGAGGAAAGAGAUUCAGAAGGUUAAUUAAUCUUGGAUUCUGACUAUGACAAGUAAUGCGUGUAAAGCAGUCAUCUCUGAGACCACUCACACACACAUUCACUUACUAAUAAGCGUCAUCACAGCAUAACAUCCUGCAUAAAACCAUAAAGUGCUUAGUUCUGAAGCAGAGAUGCCCACAGCCCAUGAUAGAUGGAGAGCAGAGACAUAGCAACAACAGAAUGCCAUCCCUAUACACUCACUAAAUCACUGGGUGUGUGCCUCAGAAUGUGACACACAUGGACUUGAUCUUACAAUUACACCUCGACCCAGUUUUUCAUUAUCUCCCUAUUUUUCAGAUGAGAAAUUGAGGCACGGGGAAGUUCAAUAGUUUGCUCUGAGCUUUGUAAGUAAAACACAAGGAAGCACAGAUAGGAAGUCAAAUUAAUCGUGGGAAAGAACAUAGCACAGAAUAGGCUCCCAGUUCUAUGGCUAACCAGAGCUGGACCCUUGGGGAAAUCAUUUUGUCCCUACGUCUCAGCUUUUCAUAGUUACUAUGACCAACUAAGGAGCUGUGUGUAUAAGAUGCUUAGUCUGGGGCCCGGGAAAGGUAAAUGAUCAAUAGUUAAAGGCUUAGCAAGGCUAAGUCAUUAGUUGUCAACACUAUCUGGUAUCUGGUACUUAACCAAACACAUCAAAUGGAAGACUAAAAGCUAUUUAUGACGUGGCAUUACAUUUUCCCAUUCUUCUACCCAUUUACCCCAAUCCCUUGAGGUCUGUCUCUGUGAGUUGUCAAGGAUGAGCUGCUUUGUACGGCCAUCUGCCACUGUGCUGUGUGACAACAAGCCACAUCUUCCUGAAAAUGUUUACAAAUGCUUCUUACAUUACUGCAGUAUAUUUUUUCAUUAAGCCGUGGCAUCUCCAUUGAAAAAUUAUUUUAAUCUUCUCAAACUGAAUUAUACAAGGAGGAAGCAUGGACAGAUAGUACUUAAAGGCUCAAUGUACAUUAAUUGCCUCAGCUAAUGAAAGAAACAUGACUUAGCCAAUGCACACAACAUGAAUCCUAAGAUGCACGGACAAUUGAGUGUGGUAAUAAAACAAGUAUUAGAGUGUUAAAUCCCAAACCCUCAUUAUGCCUCAUGCAGCAAAACCAACCAUGUACCUGCUGUUCUGAAAGCAUUUCCUCCUCUUGACACUGAGAGUUAAUUAUAGAGCCAGGCUUUGAGUAAUCUCAUGUGAUGUGUGAUUGGGGACCUUCAAAAACCCUGCAAAAUUAUAUCAGGUAACUCCUCUAUUUUUUAAGCUGAUAAAAGUACAUUGGUCAAACUGAUUUUUAGUUUGCCUUGAUGUUCCAUAGGCAAUUUUAAUUAAGACAUGAAUUAUUUAUAUAUACACACACUUUAUUUCACUUCCAUGAGAUCUUGCUUUGUCUCCCUUGGCUCUGUAAACUGGUGAAUUAUUAACUCAAGGCUAAUUUGUAUCCCUGUGCUUAAGAGGCUACGCAUCGAUUUCUUUUGUCUUUUCACUUCAUGAACCCUGAAGUAAAGAUGAUAAAGUCAUGAUGUUUAAGAGAUACGAAGGGGAGUCUUGCUCUCACUGCUCAGUGAGAAUCUCAGAACACACAGAUGAGAGUUAAGGAGAGAAGAGACAUGGGGACCCACAGCCUUCCCUUCAGAAAUCACAAGCAGGUCCCUAUCAGUGGUAGGGCCACACAAUGAGUGUGAUGCAUUGUAAGCCCCACCCUCACCCCCUUGUAGAUGCUCCAAGGGCAUGAGUGACAACAAGAGAAUAAAUAAUUGUCUCUAACAGUGGGCUUAUUCAAAAGUAAUUGCCUUUCUAGAUUAAAAAAAAUUCUAUAUUUUCUGGAAGACAGACGUGGGAAGCUAAUUGUUGACUCUGUAUGCCAGUGCACAAGUGUGUGUGUGUUCUCAUAUGUGUGCACCUGCACAUGGAGACCAACUGGAAACCUUGUCUGUCAUCCUUAGCUACCAUCCACCUUGUUUUGAGACAGGGUCUCUCAAUGACCUAGAGUUCAGAAGUAGGCUAAGCUGGCUGGGCUGCAGGAAUCUGCCUGUCUCUGCUUCCCCAGCACUGGGAUCACAAUCACUCACCAUUUUCUUCUUAAAGUGGCUUCUAGGUGAUUAGACACAGACCCUCGUGCUUGUAAGGAAGACGAGGAUGGAUCACCCAGCUGAUUGUGCAAGCCCACCAUGCCUCAGGCUGUCUGUGGAGAGAGCAAAAACACCCCUCUCCUCCAGCAAUAAGGUCGCAUGAUCUAUGACUUCAUUUUCAGUGGAGGCUAAGGAGAGGCAGGGCUUCCUCUAGGCACUUUAGAAUGGUUAGAUUAUGCAUCAUCCAGAUUCCAGGCUUCAAGAGAGCCGGGUCAUCGGGUAAAGCGACAAUCGGGACCUUUUCCUGACUGUGGCUUCAGAUGACAAGCUGGACCCAGGAGAUGUUGGGGGUCUGCAGGCUGAGUCGGGGAGUAGAAGCAGUGAAGAAACAUGAGCCUGGCGCCCUUCAUGUCACAGGCUGUAUCACUCAGGUGCACACACAUUUACUCCUACACAUCACAUGCACACACACACAUGUGUGCACGUGUAAACACAACAUACAUGUACUCACAUGCACGCACAUAAAUAAGCAGCUACAAAUAUACACAUGUACAAGUGCACACAUGUACACAUUUCAUGCCCACGCUCCAUGCUGUUUCUAUACAUUUGUACAUAUAGGAUGAUACGUGUUUAAAACAUUAUUUGUAUUGUUGGCACCCUAAUUAUAAAUCAUUGACACUCUCCCAACAUUACUUAGAUUCUGAAUUAAGUGUGAAUCUUCAGCCAACUGUGAGCUUGCCACCUAAUAAAUAUUGCUGGUUUGAAAAUAAUGUAA